This 897-nucleotide ribosomal RNA is filed under the name Triticum aestivum (bread wheat). RNAcentral's name for it is "partial small subunit ribosomal RNA". Lineage: Eukaryota; Viridiplantae; Streptophyta; Magnoliopsida; Poales; Poaceae. The record is from RNAcentral.
AUGGUCGAAGUAGGCUUUAAGGAGGAAUUUGACGCGUAUGUGUGUAAUGCCGAUCUGGAGGACUUCUUACAAGAUAAGUGUCCUCAGUACUAUCAAUUGACUGAUUCAUUUGUGCGAAGGUUUAAAUAUAACUAUACACGUAAUUCUCCUAGUGUCCUAUUUGAUAUCUAUGAUACAUCUUAUACCAUGGACUUAGAGGAUUUUACAACUGCUUGCAAACUUCCACAGUGGGGUAAUAUUAAUGAUCCCCACAAAUCUGAAUUUAGAGACUUUCUUGCUAGUAUUACUGUGGGAGAAUCUAGGGAUAUUGCACAAGCUACCAUAGGGAGCAUUCAUUUCCCUGCUAUACAUUAUUUUGCUCUGUUCAUUGGUAGAUGCAUUAACGGUAAAGAUGAAGCAUGUCAUAUGUGUGUCCCUGAUCUUUGUGUCCUCAAGAGUGCUGUGUUAGGUUAUAAAGAUUAUAACUUGGGGGCAAUAGUUGCACGUAGGUUGCAUACUAAUGGUAGAGCUAGAGAUUUAUUUGGAGGAAUUUAUGCGACCUGUGUGGCUAAUUAUCUUGGAAUAACCCCACGAGAGGGGGAUAUGAUGUUACCUCCUGCUUAUUUAGAUUAUGACGCUAUGGUCCAACAUCACUUUCUUAAGAGGAAUGAACAAUUCCUCCAGUAUCGACUAAUCUAUGACAGAUGCAACGUUGUCCAUGUUACUCUUCCUGCUCCUCUCCUUUUUGAUUACCAGGCAAAAGGAAGAUAUGUUGUUACCAGGGAGGAAGCAGCUGAACACGAGGGGAGAGCGGAGGCGGCUCGAAAACAUGCCGCAGCUCAGGAGGGAUUUGCUGCUGCAUCUCAGUACAACCCCAGUUACAACUGCGGAUAUCAGCCAGGCUAUCCUUGGCAUUAG